GGACUCCUGCAGGGGCUUCUGGGAGUUGUAGUUCGCCCCGCCCUGGGGUCGCGUCGACGCGUUUCCUGUGCGUCCCUAACGGCCGCCAUUGGCUGGGCCCGGCCGAGAGAAUCCUGCUUCCAGGUGUGUGUCCGUUUCGCGUCGCGGUGGCCCGAGCUGACGGGGGCCGACCACGUCUUCCUCGAGAGCCGUGGCCGAAGCGCCCGCAGCGGAGGAAGGCCAGAGCCGAUGUGACUGCAGAUCCGGGAGCUAGAGGCAGCCAGUCUCCCCCGAGUCCCCCGGCUGCCGGCUGCGGGGUUAGCGGAGCCCGACGCGCCCAGUCCCUUCAGCUUCAGGGCGGCAGGACGGCAGAGGCUGUUGUGACCUCGCUCCCCCCUGCCCAGACUCGCAAGAGCGUUCUGACCCGACCGCGCGUGUACUGGGAAGGAGGAGCGUGGGAGACGGGGAGCCCCGGGGCUCCGCGAGGGGAGGAGUCUCCGCAGCUGCCGGGGCCCCGGACCCUCCCUCCGUGGGGGGCGGGGGGCUCGCCCCUGGUGAGGGUGGGAGCGGCGGGGAGAGCGCUUCCUGCACGUUUGUUUCCUCUCCGGCAGCCCUCGCGUCCGGCCUCCACCCGCGGGACGCCCAGAACCAGCCGUGGGGAUGGCCACCAGGGUCCGGACAGCGGCCAUCUGGGUUCCACCUCUCCAGGAACAAGAGAAUUCAUGCAACAGAACCAGAGAGCUGCAAGGUCAGGAAUCCAUCCUGGGUCAAGGGACUCCUGACCACAGACUUCUCCCUGGAGGACCCUGGCAAAGACACAAGAAUCACAGGACAGAGCAGGUUCUAGAGUGGCUGUUUAUUUCUCAGGAGCAGCCAAAAACCACCCAGUCUCGGGGGCCAUUGUCAUUCGUGGAUGUGUUUGUGGACUUUACCUGGGAAGAGUGGCAGCUGCUGGAUCCCACUCAGAAGCACCUGUACAGGACUGUGACGUUGGAGAACUACAGCAACCUGGUGUCCCUGGGGUAUCAAGACAGCAAACCCGAUAUCAUCUUCAAGUUGGAACAAGAAGAACUGUGGAUGAUGCAGGCCCAAAUCCCAAGUCAAGGCCAUCCAGAAAAAGUCUGGGAAAUUGAUGAUCAUACGGAAUGGCAUCAGGAAAAUCAAGGCAAGCUGGAAAGUGUGGCAAAAGGCUAUGAAUGUCCUACAUUUGGAAAACUAUGUCUUCUUACUACAAAUUAUGUUUCUUCAAGACAAAAGCUUCAUAAAUAUAUCACACGUGGAAUGAGUUUUAAAUAUAAUAUAGAUUUCAAUAGUAAUUAUGCUGGAAAGAAUUCUAAAGAGUUUCGUGCAUAUAGGGAAUCAUUCCACCAUUCUAAACAUGAGCAAACUGUUAUUGGAAUAAAAUAUGGUGAAAGUAAUGAAUGUGGAAAAACUGUCAACAAGAAGUCACAACUCAUAUGCCAACAAAUGUAUAUAGGAGGAAAGCCUUUUGAAUGCAGUUUUUGUGGGAAGACCUUCAGCAGUAAGUCAUACCUUGCAGUGCAUCAACGAACUCAUGUAGAAGAGAAACCCUACAAAUGUAAGGGAUGUGGGAAAGACUUCAGCAGCAAGUCCUACCUCACUGUCCAUCAGAGAACUCACACAGGAGAGAAACUUCAUGAAUGCAGUGAAUGUGGGAAAUCCUUCAGUUUCAAUUCACAACUUGUUAUACAUCAGAGAAUCCACACAGGUGAGAAUCCCUAUGAAUGCUGCGAAUGUGGAAAAGUAUUCAGUAGGAAAGACCAGCUCGUUUCACACCAGAGAACUCAUUCAGGACAGAAACCCUAUGGUUGUAAUGAAUGUGGUAAGGCUUUUGGUUUGAAAUCACAGCUCAUUAUACAUCAAAGAAUUCACACAGGAGAGAAACCCUUUGAAUGUAGUGAAUGUCAGAAGGCCUUUAAUACAAAAUCAAAUCUUAUGGUACAUCAGAGAACCCAUACAGGGGAGAAACCCUAUGGUUGUAGUGAAUGUGGAAAAGCCUUUACUUUCAAGUCGCAGCUCAUUGUACAUCAGGAGGUUCACACAGGAGUAAAGCCCUAUGGGUGCAUUCAGUGUGGGAAAGCCUUCAGUUUGAAGUCACAGCUCAUUGUGCAUCAGAGAAGUCACACAGGAAUGAAACCUUACGUAUGCAGCGAAUGUGGCAAAGCCUUCAGGAGCAAGUCAUACCUCAUUAUACAUAUGAGAACUCACACAGGAGAGAAACUCCAUGAAUGCAGUGACUGUGGGAAAGCCUUCAGUUUUAAUUCACAACUCAUUAUACAUCAGAGAAUUCACACAGGCGAGAGUCCAUAUGAAUGCCAUGAAUGUGGGAAAGCCUUCAGUCGGAAAUACCAGCUCAUUUCACACCAGAGAACCCAUGCUGGGGAGAAGCCCUAUGAAUGCAGCGACUGUGGGAAAACUUUUGGUUUGAAGUCACAGCUCAUUAUACAUCAAAGAACUCAUACAGGAGAGAAACCCUUUGAAUGCAGUGACUGUAGCAAAGCCUUUAAUACAAAGUCAAACCUUAUUGUUCAUCAGAGAACUCAUACAGGGGAGAAACCCUAUGGUUGUAGUGAAUGUGGAAAAGCCUUUACUUUCAAGUCGCAGCUCAUUGUACAUCAGGGAGCUCACACUGGGGUAAAACCCUAUGGAUGUAAUCAAUGUGGAAAAGCCUUUAGUUUGAAGUCACAGCUCAUUGUGCAUCAGAGAAGUCACACCGGAGUGAAACCCUAUGGAUGCAGUGAAUGUGGCAAAGCCUUCAGGAGCAAGUCAUACCUCAUUAUACAUAUGAGAACUCACACAGGAGAGAAACCACAUGAAUGCAAUGAAUGCGGGAAAUCCUUCAGUUUCAAUUCACAGCUCAUUGUACAUCAGAGAAUUCACACAGGAGAAAAUCCCUAUGAAUGCAGCGAGUGUGGAAAAGCCUUUAAUAGGAAAGAUCAGCUCAUUUCUCAUCAGAGAACUCAUGCUGGAGAAAAACCUUAUGGAUGCAGUGACUGUGGGAAAGCCUUUAGUAGCAAGUCCUAUCUCAUUAUACACAUGAGAACUCAUUCAGGAGAGAAACCAUAUGAAUGUAACAAAUGUGGGAAGGCCUUCAUUUGGAAGUCACUACUCAUUGUACAUGAGCGAACUCAUGCAGGGGAAAGCCCUUAUAAAUGUAGUCAAUGUGAGAAAUCCUUCAGUGGAAAAUUACGGCUCAUUGUACAUCAGAGAAUGCACACAAGAGAGAAACCCUAUGAAUGCAGUGAAUGUGAGAAAGCUUUCAUUAGGAAAUCUCAGCUCAUUGUACAUCAGAGAACUCAUUCAGGGGAGAAACCCUAUGGAUGCAAUGAAUGUGGAAAAACCUUCUCUCAGAAAUCAAUCCUCAGUGCACAUCAGAGGACUCACACAGGAGAGAAACCCUGUAAGUGCACUGAAUGUGGGAAAGCCUUUUGUUGGAAGUCACAGCUCAUUAUGCAUCAGAGAACUCAUGCAGAUGAAAAACAUCUUGAUGAAUUAAAUGUAAGAAACUUUCUUCCAAAAGUCAAUUCAUAGGAAAUACUGGCAAAUUCUUAUAGAAGAGAAACUCUAUAAAUGAGAUCAUCUCAUUGUACACCAGACAACUAAUACUGAAUAGAAACCUAUAAAUGCACAGCAUGUGCAGGGUCACCCACAGAAAGCUGCCUUUUACACAUACCCCCCCCCUCCCGGCCCCCCAGUAAAUGCACACAGGAAAGUUAUGAAUUUAGUGAACCCUGUGAAAGUUUUCAGCAUCAAGUCAUACCUUUUUUAAAGUUUGUACAGUUUCCUUACAUGAAAGAGCAUUUACCUGAAAAGAGUUGGGACCAUGACAUUUCGGGUUGUGUUGGAGGAAUAUGACUAUUCCAAACUGCAGAUAUUUCUGAAACACCCUCCACUUUCUACUCUUUACUUCGUAGGGGAAUCCCAUCUUCUACCCAAAGAAACUGUUUCUUCUUUGAAGGAGGUAUUUAAUGAUUUUUGAAUGCCUGGUCCUUAUUGUGUUCAGCUCAUUAUAUAAGAUCCAAUCUAAAGAUAUGUGGGGUGAAGAAGGAUUGUUCACAGAAGGGAAAAGAAAGCUUGCAUAAAGAAGGAAUGCCAGGGCGCCUGGGUGGCUCAGUUGGUUAAGCGACUGCCUUCGGCUCAGGUCAUGAUCCUGGAGUCCCGGGAUCGAGUCCCACAUCGAGCUCCCUGCUCAGCAGGGAGUCUGCUUCUCCCUCUGACCCUCCCCCCUCUCAUGUGCUCUCUCUCUCCUCUCAUCCUCUCUCUCAAAUAAAUAAAUAAAAUCUUAAAAAAAAAAAAAAGGAAUGCCAGAUAUUUGUAAAGUAUGUCCCCCAGACCUGGAAAAUAUGAAUAUGUGUUUUGUCAUACAUGUUCUGAGGAAGAUUCACACAUAAUAAAGAAUGAACACCUAAGAGAACGUCUAGAUUUGCGUACUAUUACCCCGUGUCAAUUAGAUUUUAAAGGUUGCUGUAUUGUGUGAGGCAAAUCCACAUGCAACGUUACCCAGUAGAAGCCAGAAAUGUUGACAUAAUGUUGAAGAUAGAAAUCAAAUACUGUGGGAAAGGCUAAUGUUAACGUUAAGGUCUUAACCUUAAAUGAAAAAGAAAAUUUAGGGCUCUUGGCUGGCUCAGUCAGUGGAGUGUGCAACUCUUGAUCUCAGGUUUGUGAGUUGAAGCCCCAUGUUGAGUGUAGAGAUUGCUUAAGAAUAAAAUCUUAAAAAAAAAAAAGAAAGGAAAAAGAAAGUUUACCAGAUAAAUGAAAUUUAACAGAAUGAAUAGAUCUACAACUAGUAAACAAAAAGGAAAAGUAAAAAUUUGAAUCUCUGUCUUGAAAAUCUACCUAGUCCUUCUAACCCUGACCCAGCCCCAGAACAGAAAGAAGUUCCAGAGACUUUUAGUGAUGUUGAUAAUUCUCAGGAAAAGUCAAGGAAUGAUAAUCCAGCAUUUUACAAUUUUUCCCUAAAAUUGACAUGUGGGGGAUAAAUGACUUGCAGUUCAUAUUUAUGAACAUAGUUGAAAAUAAACUAAAUGUUAAUAUAGCAUUCAUAAAUGCUAAUAAUGUGGAGGGUUUUUUUGUUUAAGUCAUGACAAUAUUAAGUGUAGCAGACCACUAGUCGUGAGUCCAGUAUCCCUUCAUUACCAGUGGAAUCACUGUACUUUUCAUAAUGCCAGUGGCCCAGCCUUAAAAGCCACAUUUCUCCACUAUCUUUGUAGCAAAGUAUGAUCUUGCUGCUAAAUUCUGAGUAAUGAGAUAGAGGUUGCCGACACUGUAGGGGAAGGUUGUCAAGAAAACAGGUGAAGAAAACCCCUCAGUGUCCUGUAAUCAUUCCUCACUUUAAUACACAGCACACAUAGUGCUUGGAGAUUGAGCAACCACUACAGAGCCUGGAUGCAUCUGGAAGACAGAAGCCAUCUGCUGCAGGGCUAUCUGGUAUACCAGCCCCACACCACUACCAUCUGAGUAUCUUCUAUGUAAGGGGAAAUGAACUGUCUUGUUUAAGCCACCUUUUCUUUUUUGGGUGGGAAGAGAGUUGGUUCUGUUACAUGCAGUGGAAUGUGACCCUAUAAAAAUACAUUAUGAUGUUGGGAGAUUUAAUAAUAGAAAAUCUUUUCAUAAAAUUAACCACACUACCAGAUAAAAGAAUGGCCGUAUGAUUAUCUCAAUGUGUUUAGAUAAAACAUUUGAUGGAAUUUAAUACCCAUAGAUUAUUUUUAAAUAUUAUUACAUUAGGAAUGGAAAAUAAGUCCUUUACCUUUGCAAGGAGUAUGUUCCAAAAACUGACAAAGGUCACACUUAUUGGUAGAUAUAUAUUCCUUUAUAUUAAGAAAAGUAUACAGGUGCUCAUCACUUUUAUUGAACAGUGUAUGACAAUUCUAGCCAAUGUGUGAAAACAAAGUAAGGAAUUGAGGGUGAGGGCAGGAAAAAAAGUUCCAUUGUUUGGAGAUGUGGUUGUCUCUUUAGGAAAGCUAAAAUAAGUUUCAGGCAAAUAUUCAGAAUUGCAAUUAGAGUAGGACUUGUACUGGAUAUAUAUUUUCAACAUUUGUUGUGUUUUGCUUCUGGUUAAACUGGAUAACCUACAUACAGCAUCUUAGAAAACUGAGAACCCAAGCCCAAAUGAACAUAGCAGUGAAAAGUAGGGAACACUUUAUAUAAGAAAAGAGAGUUGCUGCUCUUAUUCUUGGUGAAAUGCAGGAAGAGGAGAGGGCCGGGAUGGCAUAUGGGGGUGAGACAAGUAGGUGGUUGCCUAUGGACUGGGGUGACACAUUAGAGUCCCAAAGCCCCCACCGUGAAGGAGUGUGCAGCCAACUCUUCGCCAUGAGUCUUCAUGGAACCCUUGGUAGAGAAAGCUUUAAAAAAUCCCAUCGAGGUGCCAGGUCCUCUAAGUGCAAGGUGGAUACUACCUGAAGGCAGGAAGGUGGACAGGGCAAUAGUUGAGGGAAAUCCUUUAGAAGCAAUCUGGACUUUUAGGCUGAGGGAGGGGUAGAGAACUGAGAACACACUAUCCCUUCCUGCCCCGCUCCCCCCCCCCCCCAUAUAAGAGAACCAUCCCCAGGCACUCAAAUCUUUCUAUUACAAAAGAUGGGAGAAAGGUCAGGAGAACUGAGAGACUCCCAAGGCAUUAUAAGCCUUCCCAGAGGGCUAUCCUCAGAGGAGGCAGAGACUAGAAGUAGCACUGAAACAUCUCUGGGAGCUUGGAAAUCAUAAGAAUUGGAAAGCAAAGAGACCUCACCAACCCAGGAAGCCGUCAAGCUCUAAGUGAGGCAAGGAGGUAGUUCACACAGUUGUGGAAGCUGGCAGCUUCGAAAACUAAACAUACGACUAUAACUCUGCUUUUCCUCUCCUAGCUGUAUACUCAAAAGAAGUGAGUGCUUGUGUUCACUCUAAAAUGUCACAGGAAUAUUCAUGGCAUUUUUACCGAUAAUAUAUGAACUGCCAACAGUUAAAAAUUCCAACAGUUGAAUGGAUAAACAACUUGUGAUACAACAAAACCAUAGAAUUCUACACUAAAAUAAAAUACCCACCUUACAGACCAUUAGGAAUGUGCUGUCUGCUCAGUAACUAGUACGGGCACUCAGUCCCUGAUCCCCGCUCCACCUGACCUACCCCCAGAGGCACAGAGGAAGGGGCCUCAUUUGAGCGGAGCACCACUGCCUAGCCACCUCAGAGCCUGAGGCACAAGGGAAACUGAGUAAUACUCAUUUCGUCUUUUCAAACAAUUUUGUUAUUUGUUCAUUGUGGAUUCUUUGGUGUUAAUUUAUAUUUUUAAAAAUAUUGCAUUAAAAUAGUUUAUCUUGA
Molecule: RNA transcript, 7293 nt
Organism: Mirounga angustirostris (Northern elephant seal)
Lineage: Eukaryota; Metazoa; Chordata; Mammalia; Carnivora; Phocidae
Gene: ZNF268
Gene name: zinc finger protein 268
Exons: 6
Source: RefSeq, a predicted model, not a curated record